GAUCCUGGCUCAGGACGAACGCUGGCGGCGUGCCUAACACAUGCAAGUCGAACGGAGAUACAGGGGCUUGCCCCUGUAUUUUAGUGGCGGACGGGCGAGUAACGCGUGAGGAACCUGCCCUUCAGUGGGGAAUAACGGCUGGAAACGGUCGCUAAUACCGCAUGACACAUGAGUACCGCAUGGUACUGAUGUCAAAGGAGCAAUUCGCUGAAGGAUGGCCUUGCGUCCGAUUAG
RNAcentral lists this ribosomal RNA (234 nucleotides) under uncultured bacterium. Its description in RNAcentral is "partial 16S ribosomal RNA". It matches the Rfam family "Bacterial small subunit ribosomal RNA", at positions 15 to 244 of the family's 1533-position model. The record is from RNAcentral.